AUGAUAUCUUAAACAAUAUAUAUGACUUUCUGAUAUUUCGUAUGACUUCUUAUGAAUGUAUAUGACAUUCUGAUUAAUAUAUGACUUUUUGUAAAUAUAUAUAAUAUCUUAAAUAAUAUAUAUGACUUUCUAAUACUUUAUAUAACUCUAUAUGAUAUAUGAUAUCCUGAAUAAUAUAUAUGACUUUUUGUGAAUAGAUAUGAUAUCCUGAACAAUAUAUAUGGCUUUCUAAUAUCU
This 237-nucleotide long non-coding RNA is filed under the name Elaeis guineensis (African oil palm). RNAcentral's name for it is "long non-coding RNA (EGUI_LNC005031)". The record is from RNAcentral. Lineage: Eukaryota; Viridiplantae; Streptophyta; Magnoliopsida; Arecales; Arecaceae.